CAAGCUGGUUGAUCCUGCCAGUAGUCAUAUGCUUGUCUCAAAGAUUAAGCCAUGCAUGUCCAAGUAUAAACACGUUUGUACUGUGAAACUGCAGAUGGCUCAUUACAACAGUUAUAGUUUAUUUGACAUUGAACUGUUACACGGAUAACCGUAGUAACCUAGGGCUAAUACGUGACAAACCCUGCUCGCAGGAGUGCAUAUUAGCUGAAAACCAACUUUGGUUGAAUAAUAAUAUUUGUCGGAUCGCGUUGGCCUCGCCAGCGACAUGUCAUUCAAGUUUCUGACCUAUCAGCUGGACGGUAGGGUAUUGGCCUACCGUGGCUUUGACGGGUAACGGGGAAUGCGGGUUCGAUUCCGGAGAGGCAGCCUGAGAAACGGCUACCACAUCCACGGGAGGCAGCAGGUGCGCAAAUUACCCAAUUCUGACUCAGAGAGGUAGUGACAAGAAAUAACGAUCGGCGGCCUUCGGUUGCCUAUUCGGAAUGAGAACAAUGUAAAAGCCUUAUCGAAUUCCAGCGGAGGGCAAGCCUGGUGCCAGCAGCCGCGGUAAUACCAGCUCCGCUAGCGUAUACUAAAGUUGUUGCUGUUAAAACGCUCGUAGUUGGAUAUCUGCCCCGCCCGGGCCGGACUCGCGACGCACCUGCGCCUGCGGCCGGCCGCCGGGGCAUAAUUCAGGAACGCCGGUCUGGCCAUUCGAUUGGUCGGGCCGCUGGUCCUGAUCCUUUACUUUGAGAAAAUUAAAGUGCUCAAAGCAGGCUCGCGCCUGAAUGCAUUAGCAUGGAAUAAUAAGACACGACUUCGGCGCCGCCACUCGUGGCGGGUGUUUUGUUGGUUUUGAGCUGGAGUAAUGAUUGAUAGAAACAAUUGGGGGUGCUAGUAUCGCCGGGCCAGAGGUAAAAUUCUUUAAUUCCGGUGAGACUAACUUAUGCGAAAGCAUUCACCAAGCGUGUUUUCUUUAAUCAAGAACUAAAGUUGGGGGAUCGAAGACGAUCAGAUACCGUCGUAGUCCCAACCAUAAACGAUGUCGACUAAGCAUUGGGCUACCAAACUUCCUCAGCACUUUAUGAGAAAUCAAAGUUUUCGGACUCAGGGGGAAGUAUGCUCGCAAGAGUGAAACUUAAAGGAAUUGACGGAAGGGCACCACAAGAUGUGGAGCCUGCGGCUUAAUUUGAUUCAACACGGGAAAACUUACCAGGUCCAGACAUAGUAAGGAUUGACAGAUUAAAGUUCUUUCUUGAUUCUAUGCAUGGUGGUGCAUGGCCGUUCUUAGUUCCUAGGGUGACCCCUCUGGUUAAUUCCGAUAACGGACGAGACCCCACCCAUCUAACUAGCCGGCGCUAACCCGGCGCCCAGCGCCCGUUAGCGGGGUGCAGCAUUGCGCGCCCGGCUUCUUAGAGGGACUAUCUGUGUCUCCAGCAGAUGGAAGAUUGGGGCAAUAACAGGUCAGGAUGCCCUUAGAUGCUCUGGGCUGCACGCGCGCUACAAUGAUGCGUUCAACGAGUUUGACCCGGCUUGACAAGGCCGGGUAAUCUUCAACGCGCAUCCAAGUGGGGAUAGAUGAUUGCAAUUGUUCAUCUUGAACAAGGAAUAUCUAGUAAACGCAAGUCAUCAACUUGCAUUGAUUACGUCCCUGCCCUUUGUACACACCGCCCGUCGCUUCUACCGAUUGAAUAAUGAGGUGAAUUAGGUGGAUAAGAGCCGCCUCGGCGCGUUCUUAGAAGCUUUGUGAACCUUGUUAUUUAGAGGAAGGAAAAGUCGUAACAAGGUUUCCGUAGGUGAACCUGCGGAAGGAUCAUUAUUAUACUUAUAUUU
This 1812-nucleotide ribosomal RNA is filed under the name Bonamia sp. SC2006. RNAcentral describes it as "SSU rRNA". It matches the Rfam family "Eukaryotic small subunit ribosomal RNA". The record is from RNAcentral. Lineage: Eukaryota; Endomyxa; Ascetosporea; Haplosporida; Haplosporidiidae.